Molecule: ribosomal RNA, 274 nt
Filed under: uncultured bacterium
Lineage: Bacteria
Description: partial 16S ribosomal RNA
Rfam family: Bacterial small subunit ribosomal RNA
Source: RNAcentral
AUACGGAGGGUGCAAGCGUUAAGCGGAAUUACUGGGCGUAAAGCGCGCGUAGGCGGUUUAGUCAGUCAGAUGUGAAAGCCCCGGGCUCAACCUGGGAACUGCAUUUGAUACUGCUGAACUAGAGUAUGGUAGAGGGAAGUGGAAUUCCGGGUGUAGCGGUGAAAUGCGUAGAUAUCCGGAGGAACACCAGUGGCGAAGGCGACUUCCUGGACCAAUACUGACGCUGAGGUGCGAAAGCGUGGGUAGCAAACAGGAUUAGAUACCCUAGUAGUCC